Molecule: ribosomal RNA, 465 nt
Filed under: uncultured Klebsiella sp.
Lineage: Bacteria; Pseudomonadati; Pseudomonadota; Gammaproteobacteria; Enterobacterales; Enterobacteriaceae
Description: bacterial SSU rRNA
Rfam family: Bacterial small subunit ribosomal RNA
Source: RNAcentral
CCUACGGGAGGCAGCAGUGGGGAAUAUUGCACAAUGGGCGCAAGCCUGAUGCAGCCAUGCCGCGUGUGUGAAGGAGGCCUUCGGGUUGUAAAGCACUUUCAGCGGGGAGGAAGGCGUUAAGGUUAAUAACCUUGGCGAUUGACGUUACCCGCAGAAGAAGCACCGGCUAACUCCGUGCCAGCAGCCGCGGUAAUACGGAGGGUGCAAGCGUUAAUCGGAAUUACUGGGCGUAAAGCGCACGCAGGCGGUCUGUCAAGUCGGAUGUGAAAUCCCCGGGCUCAACCUGGGAACUGCAUUCGAAACUGGCAGGCUAGAGUCUUGUAGAGGGGGGUAGAAUUCCAGGUGUAGCGGUGAAAUGCGUAGAGAUCUGGAGGAAUACCGGUGGCGAAGGCGGCCCCCUGGACAAAGACUGACGCUCAGGUGCGAAAGCGUGGGGAGCAAACAGGAUUAGAUACCCCUGUAGUC